Molecule: ribosomal RNA, 367 nt
Filed under: uncultured eukaryote
Lineage: Eukaryota
Description: partial 18S ribosomal RNA
Rfam family: Eukaryotic small subunit ribosomal RNA
Source: RNAcentral
CAAUAGCGUAUAUUAAAGUUGUUGCAGUUAAAAAGCUCGUAGUUGAAGAUACGAACGCUUACACUAGAACAAAGUUUCCGGUGUCUGCGUUCACUUUUCGCAAAGACAGCCUGGCCCAUUAGUUUGGGUCUUGUUUGAGUUGCGUCAUUUACUGUGAACAAAUUAGGGUGUUUAAAGCAGGCCUACGUUUGAAUACACUAGCAUGGAAUAAUAAGAUAUGAUCUUGGUCGUAUUUUGUUGGUGACUACCAAGAUAAUGAUUGAUAGAAACUGUUGUGGGUAUUCGUAUGAGCAUGUCAGAGGUGAAAUUCUUGGAUUUUGAUCAGACGAACUACUGCGAAAGUAUUUACCAAGGAUGUUUUCAUUGA